This 113-nucleotide ribosomal RNA is filed under the name Salmonella enterica subsp. enterica serovar Agona. Lineage: Bacteria; Pseudomonadati; Pseudomonadota; Gammaproteobacteria; Enterobacterales; Enterobacteriaceae. The record is from RNAcentral.
UGGCGGCAGUAGCGCGGUGGUCCCACCUGACCCCAUGCCGAACUCAGAAGUGAAACGCCGUAGCGCCGAUGGUAGUGUGGGGCGGUCUGAUAACAGAAUUUGCCUGGCGGCAC